This 327-nucleotide ribosomal RNA is filed under the name uncultured eukaryote. Its description in RNAcentral is "partial 18S ribosomal RNA". It matches the Rfam family "Eukaryotic small subunit ribosomal RNA", at positions 1470 to 1796 of the family's 1831-position model. The record is from RNAcentral.
CCCUUAGAUGUUCUGGGCCGCACGCGCGCUACACUGACGAAUGCAACGAGCUUAUAACCUUGGCCGAAAGGUCUGGGUAAUCUCCAAAUUUCGUCGUGAUGGGGAUAGAUUAUUGCAAUUAUUAAUCUUCAACGAGGAAUGCCUAGUAAGCGCAAGUCAUCAGCUUGCGUUGAUUACGUCCCUGCCCUUUGUACACACCGCCCGUCGCUCCUACCGAUUGAAUGGUCCGGUAAAGCGUUCGGACCGUGGCCUUUGGACGGUUCGCCGUCUGUUGGCUGCGGGAAGUUCGUUAAACCUUAUCAUUUAGAGGAAGGAGAAGUCGUAACA